This 3621-nucleotide long non-coding RNA is filed under the name Coffea arabica (coffee). RNAcentral's name for it is "long non-coding RNA (CARA_LNC001530)". The record is from RNAcentral. Lineage: Eukaryota; Viridiplantae; Streptophyta; Magnoliopsida; Gentianales; Rubiaceae.
UCCUUCCCGUCAAUUUUACUUCCAAAAAUAAAAGAACCAGGUUUAUCUUCCUUUCAUCCGUUGACACUGUCUGCUCUCUCUACAAUAGAGGGAAAAAUUGUGAAUCGAAUGGAAUAAAAGAGAAAAUAUUCCUUUCACAAUAAUAAAAAAAAAAAGUUCUCAAUCAAAUCUCUAAAACCAUAAAUAAAAAUAUAAAAAUAUGAAAAGCAAGUAUGUCAAACAUAGAGGUCUAAAUUCUUGGCUCAAAAAAAAAGAUUUAUUACCUUAGAUCCCUUUCCUUCGUCUGUAUUAUCACCCAUCUAAAGAACACUUGUUUCAAACCUAAAAAACAACAAUGAGUAAAAUACAUAGUUAGAUCGAAGACUAAAAAAUGAAAGAACUGAAAAAAAAAGAACUCCAAGCCCUUCUUUGAUACAAACAACGAUUUACCAAAGCAAAUGGAAGCGUGAGUAUUUUUGUGGAGGAAAAAAAAAGAGGAAGAACUGGAAAAGCGACAAGCUACUGAGAGGAAGAGAAGAAAGAGAGGGACGGCAGAAGUCUUGAGAGAGAGAGAGGACGGUAAAUUUUAUAACCCUAGACAUUUUGUGACAAAAAAUCGAAGAGAUGUGGGUGUGAUUUGACAUGGGCCCCUGUUUGCAAGAGCAGCUCACUUGCACUCUGACAACAAAGGAAGAGCAAGAAACAAAGAGGAAGCCAAUUGUCUGGCCAAAACAGCCUCAGGGUCUGGCCGAAAAGGGAGAAAGAAGUGGGCAGAAAGCAACACAGUAGCAAAAACAAGCGGAAGGAAAGAUGAACGAAGGUGAGAGGAGAGAAAAAAUCAGGUGCAACCAAGGUAAAUUUUGGAGUGGAAACAACACCAAUAUGUGGCCGAAAAAAAAAGAAGCAGGUUGGAGUGGGUAGAGAGGAGGCUGAUGAAGCGGAAGAAAGAAAAGACAUCACAGAACCGGAAGCAACGAAAGACAGGACGAAUGAAGGGAAGGCAGGAUCACGUGCAACAAGCACAAUUGACAACCAAUCAAUUCACACCACGUCACCAUCGAGCCAAUCUCAUCUCGCCAUGCGGAGGACGACCACAUUCGACAUGGAAACCGGGUGUUCGCCCAUAGUACUAUAUGGUUAAUGAUACCGAUUGCUAAUUGUCAGGAUCCUGUUCUAGUUCUCAAGUAGGUUAUUGACCACGGAUUCGUAUAGCUAAUACAUUUAUUUUUGAACUAGGAGGAGAGCUCCGCGCACCGCGCGGUGUAAUUUUCAGGCUUUCCCCACAAAUAUCGAAUAAUUUAAAUUAGGAUAUUAAUUAUAAAAAGUUACAUAAAAAUGCACCAAAAUCUUUGCAAUUAAUAUUUUUAUAGUUUUAUUAAGCAAUGUAGAUAAGCCACAAUUUUAGCUUGGUAGCUAAAUGACAAAGUCAUUUUUUGUUUUACCUACUAAUUCAACAGGAAUGACAAUGUUAUUAGUUUGAAAAUAAUGUAUUCCCGUGUAAUGCUACCUUAUGUUUUUUUAUGUAUAUCAAAAAUUUGUUAGUCAUGAACAAAUUCAAUAGGAAGCUAGACCUUUUGUUAACAAUACUAAAAUAUGUCAGGUAAGAAGUCUGUUUAAAUGUAAAAUAUAAGAAUGACUAUAAAAUGAUGUAACAUAGUUGACAGUCAAUUUCAGUCAACAAUAUAGUUGUUAAACUGUGUUUAAUACAACAAUCUGGUGGGCAGUAUUGGGAUGUAUCCAAAGGAAGAAAAGAUGGGAGGAUAUCUAAGGCUAGCCAUACCACACAAUUCCUAGCUUCAGUCUUCAAUAUAUUACAACUCCAACAAAGCUUCUCUCAGAGAGGUCUGUCCAUGGAAGACCUUGUUGCUCUCUCAGGUUAUAGAACCAAGUUCCAAACUGUCUUGCACAUAAUUUCUUUCCAUCUUCACAAACUAAAAAAAUUAUUCUUUCCACACUUUGAAGGUGGCCACACGAUAGGUUUUUCCCAUUGCUCAUCAUUCCAGAAUAGAAUCCACAAUUUCAAUGCCACCCAUGACAUUGAUCCUACACCACACCCAUCCUUUGCAGCAAGUUUGAGAAGCAUUUGUCCAAACACGAGCGGGGCAAAAAAUGCAGGCACCUCAAUGGUUCCAUCGUCAACUACUUUUGACAACACGUACUACAAGUUGAUUCUCCAAGGGAAGAGCCUCUUCUCUUCAGAUCAGGCUUUACUCACUUCUCCAAAGACAAAAGACUUGGUUUCAAAGUUUGUAAGCUCAAAAAAAACUUUCAAUGAGGCCUUUUUAAGUUUCAUGAUCAAGAUGAGCAGCAUCACAGGUGGUCAGGAAAUUAGAAAGGACUGUAGGGUGGUAAACUAAACUAUCUUUCUCAACUAAGUGCCUCCAUCAUCCAAAGUGAUCGGAAGAAAACCAGAGCUAUCAAACUUGUUGAUUUUUAAGAUUAUAUGAACCCCGAAAUUCAAUACUCAACAGAACAAUGCAUAUAUUAUUUACAGAUUUAAAUGUUAAAGCAGUCUAUUUCCUCUCCUGCAAAUGGCAGUCCUGUUUGGAUACUCUGUUAUGCAUAAUUUUUGGGGUUCAAUACAAAACUUGAUGUAGGGGGAGGAAAGAGAUAAAUGGAAAGCCUUCAUGAAAUUUAACAACUAAUUUUACUUGAAAGCAGAAUUGGAGGUCUUGACAUACAUUAUUUGCCCACGUGUUGCUCAUAAAUGAAAAUGUAAAAUUGUCCAAAAUUUCCUUGGAUAUGAACAUCCAAACUGAUUGACUAGAUCUUGGUACAAAUGCACUUAAUCCAGUUUUAGGAAGUUAACAUUUUUGUACACUUCUGAACAGAAGAUAAUAAGCUCAUAUCAUUUUGAUGCUACAAACAAGUUAUUGGUGCAUACAGGAUUGCAAUGGUCUUGUAUAGGACAUAAAAAAAUUACAAAAACCAAAACAAUUGUUUAUGGUCCAUAGUUCAAUUCAGCAUCAAGCUUAGUUUAAUUCCAGAAGUGAAGCAAUAAAUAAAAACAAGGGGGGAACAGAUAGUGUAACAUGUUAAUGUCAUCCCCAACCCAUGUAUUUUAAUAGUCAUUCAAGAAGGCAAAAAAAAAAAAAGAGAGAAAAAGAAGAAAGAAAAAAAAUAUAUUGCAUCUUACCAUUUUUCUCAAUAAGUAUCACGACUUUUUGCUAACUUAGUUUGUCAUUAUCCAAAAUUAUGUCUACCAACUGUAUAUUCCUACUUAAUCCAGAUGCUUUGUCAGCUGGCAUGAAUGAAAACCCAUCUAGAAGCUUCAUGCACUUCAAUCCCCAUUUAACCAUCAAGAACUCAAUCAGGUGAUGCCCACUGUUUACAGUAAAACGAGAAACAAAAAAUUAACAUAAACCUGUGAUACACCCAAGUGCGGCACCAAAUGUCCUUGAGCCAAGAAAAGAUCAGGAAUUGAAAAUCCAUAAUCACCUUCUAUUGUGGUAAGCUGUUAUAAAAACCGAAGAGGGAGAAUUCUGGAGCAGAAAUGCCACAGUAGGAAAAAGAUAAUCAAAUGCUUCAAAGUGCAUGCGUGGUAAAAAUAUCCAAACAAACCCAUCUUUCCAGUUAAGUGAUAUGUGAAACAAAACCGAAAAAGUCACCAUAUUAGGAAGAGAAAAAUAGGGACAAGCCUAC